CAGAGGUCCCGAGCGUUGUUCGGAUUCACUGGGCGUAAAGGGUGCGUAGGUGGUGAGGUAAGUCGGAUGUGAAAUCUCCAGGCUCAACCUGGAAACUGCAUUGGAAACUACCUUGCUUGAGGGUUUGAGGGGGGACUGGAAUUCUCGGUGUAGCAGUGAAAUGCGUAGAUAUCGAGAGGAACACCAGUGGCGAAGGCGAGUCCCUGGAAAACACCUGACACUGAGGCACGAAAGCUAGGGGAGCAAACAGGAUUAGAUACCCUGGUAGUCCUAGCCCUAAACGGUGCUUGCUUGCUGUAAGUGGAAUCGACCCCACUUGUGGCGGAGCUAACGCGUUAAGCAAGCCGCCUGGGAAGUACGGUCGCAAGAUUA
This 372-nucleotide ribosomal RNA is filed under the name uncultured organism. RNAcentral's name for it is "bacterial SSU rRNA". It matches the Rfam family "Bacterial small subunit ribosomal RNA", at positions 526 to 896 of the family's 1533-position model. The record is from RNAcentral.